Molecule: ribosomal RNA, 262 nt
Filed under: uncultured Staphylococcus sp.
Lineage: Bacteria; Bacillati; Bacillota; Bacilli; Caryophanales; Staphylococcaceae
Description: partial 16S ribosomal RNA
Rfam family: Bacterial small subunit ribosomal RNA
Source: RNAcentral
CGGACGGGUGAGUAACACGUGGAUAACCUACCUAUAAGACUGGGAUAACUUCGGGAAACCGGAGCUAAUACCGGAUAAUAUAUUGAACCGCAUGGUUCAAUGUGAAAGACGGUUUUGCUGUCACUUAUAGAUGGAUCCGCGCCGCAUUAGCUAGUUGGUAAGGUAACGGCUUACCAAGGCAACGAUGCGUAGCCGACCUGAGAGGGUGAUCGGCCACACUGGAACUGAGACACGGUCCAGACUCCUACGGGAGGCAGCAGAC